This 438-nucleotide ribosomal RNA is filed under the name uncultured bacterium. RNAcentral's name for it is "partial 16S ribosomal RNA". It matches the Rfam family "Bacterial small subunit ribosomal RNA", at positions 339 to 795 of the family's 1533-position model. The record is from RNAcentral.
CUACGGGGUGCUGCAGUGAGGAAUAUUGCACAAUGGGGGGAACCCUGAUGCAGCAACGCCGCGUGGAGAAUGACGCAUUUCGGUGUGUAAACUCCUUUUAUAUGUCAAGAAAAUGACGGUAGCAUAUGAAUAAGCACCGGCUAACUCCGUGCCAGCAGCCGCGGUAAUACGGAGGGUGCAAGCGUUACUCGGAAUCACUGGGCGUAAGGACGCGUAGGCGGGUUGGAAAGUCAGGUGUGAAAUCCUACAGCUUAACUGUAGAACUGCACUUGAAACUUCUAAUCUAGAGUAUGGAAGGGGGAGAUGGAAUUAGUGGUGUAGGGGUAAAAUCCGUAGAUAUCACUAGGAAUACCUAAAGCGAAGGCGAUCUCCUGGAACAUUACUGACGCUAAGGCGUGAAAGCGUGGGGGGCAAACAGGAUUAGAUACCCGCGUAGUC